GUUGUUGAAUUUUUAAAUAUGCAUUUCUUACAUGAUUAAUUUAUGCUUCUCAUCUAAACAUAUGUUAAUCAUGUACCAUGUAUUUAUUCAGUAAGGAUGUUCAACCAUAUAGAAUUAAUCAUGUUGAAGCUAAAUGAAGUAGUUAUGUUUUGUUCAGAAACCCCGCCCCUUUUCGAAGGAAACCAAUUCGCGCCCAUCGCCAUUUUGUCUCUUGCUGUGGAUGGGAUCUGAGCUCUACACUGAGACCCCUUAUUCUCCUGGACUGUUUAUUGUUUAUUUUUUAUUUUUUAUUUUUUUGGAAUGCUGUUUAGUAGUGAUAUCUGAUAUUUCACCAGACAAGUGCACUUAUUGACAUCCACUUCACUGUCAGUCCAAAGCCUCUACAUUAAUGGGUGCACAGCUGCAGUUAGAUUGGAGUUACCAAAACAUCCACACUUUGGACAUUUCUGCCAUUAUCCAUG
Molecule: long non-coding RNA, 461 nt
Organism: Sinocyclocheilus grahami
Lineage: Eukaryota; Metazoa; Chordata; Actinopteri; Cypriniformes; Cyprinidae
Exons: 4
Source: RefSeq, a predicted model, not a curated record